AUUGUAAAAGUCAUCUUAUUUUCCUCAUAAUUUUAAUUCAAACGUUAUAAACCUAAUUAUUUACUGUUCCACCUACAAUCAACCCUAUUCUAGCUUACUUGUUAAAAACUGACAGCCCUACAUCUUCCCCCUGCGUCACAAGGUAUUGAAUAUACUUAACCUUCAUUCUUCUUCUAAGCCACAUUUAUGAGCAACAAACAUGAAAAUAGAAAAGGCAAUGAUGACUAAAACGAAAUGAGUUACUGAAAUCAAAUUUUUGAACCUGGCGACUGCGUAUGUCUCGAUUAACAAAGUAUCGGCUCACAUGCACUGGUUUUUCUUUGGAUGCGUGAAUGUAGACUGAGAAUCUGCCUUCAUGACCCUG
Non-coding RNA from Jatropha curcas, 364 nucleotides. The record is from RefSeq and is a predicted model, not a curated record. Lineage: Eukaryota; Viridiplantae; Streptophyta; Magnoliopsida; Malpighiales; Euphorbiaceae.